UACGUAGGGUGCGAGCGUUAAUCGGAAUUACUGGGCGUAAAGGGCGCGUAGGCGGCCUGUUAAGUCGAACGUGAAAUCCCCGGGCUCAACCCGGGAACUGCGUCCGAUACUGGCAGGCUUGAAUCCGGGAGAGGGAUGCGGAAUUCCAGGUGUAGCGGUGAAAUGCGUAGAUAUCGGGAGGAACACCAGUGGCGAAGGCGACUUCCUGGCCUGUUCUUGACGCUGAGGCGCGAAAGCUAGGGGAGCAAACGGG
Molecule: ribosomal RNA, 253 nt
Filed under: uncultured bacterium
Lineage: Bacteria
Description: partial 16S ribosomal RNA
Rfam family: Bacterial small subunit ribosomal RNA
Source: RNAcentral